AGUAAAAGAAUUUUGGACUAGGCCCAUCACUUAGGCGCUCAGUGCUCAAUUGACUGCUCAGCGGUAGACCUUAUAAUCGUAGGGCGCUCAGCGGUGGAAACUGGCGCUCAGCGCUGGCCCUCAUAAUCAUAGGACGCUCAGCGUCGCCGCUCAAGCAAGAAACAGUGGCUUCCUCCUCGAAGCUGGCGCUCAGUGAUGGAAUUGGCGUUGAGCGAUGGACCUCACUCUUGAGUCUAAGUCCUCCCUUCUUCACUUCCAU
RNAcentral lists this long non-coding RNA (259 nucleotides) under Vigna radiata. Its description in RNAcentral is "long non-coding RNA (VRAD_LNC018074)". The record is from RNAcentral. Lineage: Eukaryota; Viridiplantae; Streptophyta; Magnoliopsida; Fabales; Fabaceae.